AGGGUACAGUCGCGUCCAGAGAGUUACGCACUUUGAAGCGUGACUUUGAAAGGACAAAGGAUGAAUUGGCCAAAGUUGCCCUAUCAAAUCGAGCGCUUCGCGACAGAGUGCAUCAGUUGGAAGACAAGGUACGGAAGGAGUCAAUGAAAGCUGAAAAAGAGUUCGAAAAAAAUAAAAAGUGUGUGGAGGAUUUCCGCAACACCCUGGCUUCAAUGGAGCAUUAUUUUAAGUUGGAGAUAGAGCAGCUGAAAAAACAAAAUGGUGGGGUGAAUGAAGCUGCGGAAGGACAUGAGGACCUCGGUAGUCCUCAUAUGAAUGAAGGAGGCAACAAUGACUUGUCGCCAUUACAUGCCUAUGUUAGUCCGCCUACAGAACCGGCAGUAAUGGAAACACAAGUCCCCGGUGAUGGAGCCGAACCUUCCGCAGCCAUGGUAGUUGAAGAGGCAAAAAUGGCCGCUUCAGUUCCUCACUUAGAAGUGCAUGAAGUAGCUGAC
RNAcentral lists this long non-coding RNA (494 nucleotides) under Prunus dulcis (almond). RNAcentral describes it as "sRNA ncRNA". Lineage: Eukaryota; Viridiplantae; Streptophyta; Magnoliopsida; Rosales; Rosaceae. The record is from RNAcentral.